Molecule: ribosomal RNA, 381 nt
Filed under: Triticum aestivum (bread wheat)
Lineage: Eukaryota; Viridiplantae; Streptophyta; Magnoliopsida; Poales; Poaceae
Description: partial small subunit ribosomal RNA
Source: RNAcentral
GUGAUCUUAACUAAGGGUAACUUGGUAAAAUAUAGUUGGGAGGGUAGUAAAUGAUGUUGUUUCUGUGAUCAAGACGAAACGGUCCAACACCUUUUUCUCAAAUGCCCCAUAGCCAAGCUACUGUGGCACACAGUGCAUGUGGCCUUUAAUGUCAAUCCUCCUAAUACUUCAAAUCAAAGAAGCCCUGAAACUGGAGGGGGUAAUUUUGCUCAUCUUGAACCCAUAAAUAGUCAAAGUUCAAACCUCCAGUCUCUACAUCAUAGUACAUAUGGUGCAGACGACUAUUUUUCUCAGGGAAGCACUCUUAUAAUACCCUAUACUGCUUGGCAUUGUGUAAUAAAAUAUGUAUGCCCCGUCGCAGCGCACGGGCAUUUGUGCUAG